GUGAGGAAUAUUGGGCAAUGGGCGAAAGCCUGACCCAGCCACGCCGCGUGAGUGAUGAAGGCCUUCGGGUUGUAAAGCUCUGUGGGGAGGGAAGAAAAAGCGGGAGAGUAACUGCUCUCGUGUUGACGGUACCUCCUUAGCAAGCACCGGCUAACUCUGUGCCAGCAGCCGCGGUAAUACAGAGGGUACAAACGUUGCUCGGAAUUACUGGGCGUAAAGCGCGUGUAGGCUGACAUGCAAGUCGGGUGUGAAAUCCCAGGGCUCAACCUUGGAACUGCACUCGAAACUGCACGUCUUGAGUACUGGAGAGGGAAGCGGAAUUCCGGGUGUAGAGGUGAAAUUCGUAGAUAUCCGGAGGAACACCAGUGGCGAAGGCGGCUUCCUGGACAGUAACUGACGCUGAGGUGCGAAAGCGUGGGGAGCAAACAGGAUUAGAAACCCUUGUAGUCC
This 450-nucleotide ribosomal RNA is filed under the name uncultured bacterium. RNAcentral's name for it is "partial 16S ribosomal RNA". It matches the Rfam family "Bacterial small subunit ribosomal RNA", at positions 354 to 796 of the family's 1533-position model. The record is from RNAcentral.